CAGUCGCCGCGGUAAUACGGAGGGUGCAAGCGUUAAUCGGAAUUACUGGGCGUAAAGCGCACGCAGGCGGUCUGACAAGUCGGAUGUGAAAUCCCUGAGCUUAACUUAGGAAUUGCAUUCGAUACUGGGAAGCUAGAGUAUGGGAGAGGAUGGUAGAAUUCCAGGUGUAGCGGUGAAAUGCGUAGAGAUCUGGAGGAAUACCGAUGGCGAAGGCAGCCAUCUGGCCUAAUACUGACGCUGAGGUACGAAAGCAUGGGGAGCAAACAGGAUUAGAUACCCCGGUAGUCCCUGUCUCUUAUAA
RNAcentral lists this ribosomal RNA (301 nucleotides) under uncultured bacterium. RNAcentral's name for it is "partial 16S ribosomal RNA". It matches the Rfam family "Bacterial small subunit ribosomal RNA", at positions 509 to 809 of the family's 1533-position model. The record is from RNAcentral.